Molecule: small nucleolar RNA, 131 nt
Organism: Molossus molossus (Pallas's mastiff bat)
Lineage: Eukaryota; Metazoa; Chordata; Mammalia; Chiroptera; Molossidae
Product: small nucleolar RNA SNORA63
Exons: 1
Source: RefSeq, a predicted model, not a curated record
AAGCAGGAUAUAGUUGCAAUGUAGCUGGGAAGUGCUGCAUUGUCUUUGCCUCCUGCUCAAAAUAAACUGUGUCCUUUCUAGCCCUGUUGGCCAUGGUGCUGUAGCUGCCAGGGAUGCAUGGUCUCACACAU